UACGAAGGGGGCUAGCGUUGCUCGGAAUCACUGGGCGUAAAGGGUGCGUAGGCGGGUCUUUAAGUCAGGGGUGAAAUCGCCGAAGGCUCAACCUUGGAACUAGCCUUUCUGAUACUGGAGACUUGUAGUCCGGGAGAGGUGAGUGGAAUUGCGAGUGUAGAGGUGAAAUUCGUAGAUAUUCGCAAGAACACCAGUGGCGAAGGCGGCUCACUGGCCCGGAACUGACGCUGAGACGACGAAGCGGUGGGAGCAACAGG
RNAcentral lists this ribosomal RNA (257 nucleotides) under uncultured bacterium. Its description in RNAcentral is "partial 16S ribosomal RNA". It matches the Rfam family "Bacterial small subunit ribosomal RNA", at positions 524 to 775 of the family's 1533-position model. The record is from RNAcentral.